GGAUGCGAUCAUACCAGCACUAAAGCACCGGAUCCCAUCAGAACUCCGAAGUUAAGCGUGCUUGGGUGAGAGUAGUACUAGGAUGGGUGACCUCCUGUGAAGUCCUCGUGUUGCAUUCC
RNAcentral lists this ribosomal RNA (119 nucleotides) under Triticum aestivum (bread wheat). The record is from RNAcentral. RNAcentral also lists the same sequence under 1 other name. Lineage: Eukaryota; Viridiplantae; Streptophyta; Magnoliopsida; Poales; Poaceae.